AAUCAUCAAAACCUUUUCCUCUUUGAUCCCAAAUUUAUUUGGGUUGGGAAAAGGAUUUUGGACUUGGAGGUUCCAUGCUCGCCUUCUUUUGAAAGCGAGCUCCUCUCAAAUGAAUCAGUGGGGUCCGCUUUGCCGAUCCUUGACGUGAUAAGAUGCUUCUACGUUUUGGGUUUGGCACCGUCCCUUGGACGCCUGCUCCUAACCGUCCCCAUGGACAACGAUGGUGCUCCGGUCGACCGCCGUCUACGUUGGCGGGGGAAGGCUGGACCCACGAAAAGAAAA
Molecule: unclassified non-coding RNA, 282 nt
Filed under: uncultured Russula
Lineage: Eukaryota; Fungi; Basidiomycota; Agaricomycetes; Russulales; Russulaceae
Description: sequence contains ITS2
Source: RNAcentral